RNAcentral lists this ribosomal RNA (334 nucleotides) under uncultured bacterium. RNAcentral's name for it is "bacterial SSU rRNA". It matches the Rfam family "Bacterial small subunit ribosomal RNA", at positions 471 to 793 of the family's 1533-position model. The record is from RNAcentral.
GACGUUAGCUGCAGAAGAAGCACCGGCUAACUCCGUGCCAGCAGCCGCGGUAAUACGGGAGGGUGCGAGUCGUUAAUCGGAAUUACGUGGGACGUAAAGCGCAUGCAGGUGGUUUGUUAAGUCAGAUGUGAAAAGCCCCGGGGCUCAACCUCGGAAUAGCAUUUAGAAACUGGCAGACUAGAGUACUGUAGGAGGGGGUAGAAUUUCAGGUGUAGCGGUGAAAUGCGUAGAGAUCUGAAGGAAUACCGGUGGCGAAGGCGGCCCCCCUGGACAGAUACUGACACUCAGAUGACGAAAGCGGUGGGGAGACAAACAGGAUUAGAUACCCUGGUAG